GAUGAACGCUGGCGGCGUGCUUAACACAUGCAAGUCGAACGGUGAACCCGGAGCUUGCUCUGUGGGAUCAGUGGCGAACGGGUGAGUAACACGUGAGCAACCUGCCCCUGACUCUGGGAUAAGCGCUGGAAACGGCGUCUAAUACUGGUUAUGUGACGUGACCGCAUGGUCUGCGUUUGGAAAGAUUUUUCGGUUGGGGAUGGGCUCGCGGCCUAUCAGCUUGUUGGUGAGGUAAUGGCUCACCAAGGCGUCGACGGGUAGCCGGCCUGAGAGGGUGACCGGCCACACUGGGACUGAGACACGGCCCAGACUCCUACGGGAGGCAGCAGUGGGGAAUAUUGCACAAUGGGCGCAAGCCUGAUGCAGCAACGCCGCGUGAGGGAUGACGGCCUUCGGGUUGUAAACCUCUUUUAGCAGGGAAGAAGCGAAAGUGACGGUACCUGCAGAAAAAGCGCCGGCUAACUACGUG
Molecule: ribosomal RNA, 469 nt
Filed under: uncultured bacterium
Lineage: Bacteria
Description: partial 16S ribosomal RNA
Rfam family: Bacterial small subunit ribosomal RNA
Source: RNAcentral